AUUGAACGCUGGCGGCAGGCCUAACACAUGCAAGUCGAGCGGAUGAAGGGAGCUUGCUCCUUGAUUCAGCGGCGGACGGGAGAGUAAUGCCAAGGAAUCUUCCUGCUAGUCGUGGAUAACGUCCGGAAACGGGCGCUAAUACCGAAUACGUCAUGAGGGAGAAUGUGGGGGAUCUUCGGACCUCACGCUAUCAGAUGAGCCUAGGUCGGAUUACCUAGUUGGUGGGGUAAAGGCCUACCAAGGCGACGAUCCGUAACUGGUCUAAGAGGAUGAUCAGUCACACUGGAACUGAGCACCGGUCCAGACUCCUAGGGGGGCCAGCAGUGGGGAAUUUUGGACAAUGGGCGAAAGCCUGAUCCAGCAAUGCCGCGUGUGUGAAGAAGGUCUUCGGAUUGUAAAGCACUUUAAGUUGGGAGGAAGGGCAGUAAGUUAAUACCUUGCUGUUUUGACGUUACCAACAGAAUAAGCACCGGCUAACUUCGUG
This 484-nucleotide ribosomal RNA is filed under the name uncultured bacterium. Its description in RNAcentral is "partial 16S ribosomal RNA". It matches the Rfam family "Bacterial small subunit ribosomal RNA", at positions 30 to 507 of the family's 1533-position model. The record is from RNAcentral.